RNAcentral lists this ribosomal RNA (458 nucleotides) under uncultured bacterium. RNAcentral's name for it is "partial 16S ribosomal RNA". It matches the Rfam family "Bacterial small subunit ribosomal RNA", at positions 29 to 506 of the family's 1533-position model. The record is from RNAcentral.
AACGAACGCUGGCGGCAUGCCUAACACAUGCAAGUCGAACGAGACCUUCGGGUCUAGUGGCGCACGGGUGCGUAACGCGUGGGAACCUGCCCUUAGGUUCGGAAUAACUCCCCGAAAGGGGUGCAAAAACCGGAAAAGAUCUUCGGACCAAAAAUUUAUCGCCUUUGGAUGGGCCGGCGUGGGAUUAGCUAGUUGGUAGGGUAAAAGCCUACCAAGGGGAUGGUCCAUAGCUGGUUUGAGAGGAUGAUCGGCAAAACGGGGACGGAGACACGGCCCAGAUUACUAAGGGAGGCAGCAGUGGGGAAGCGGCCUCAAUGGACGAAAGUCCGCCGGAGCAACGCAGAGUCAGUGAUGACGGGCGUAGGGUUGUCAAGCUCUGUUAAUCGGGACGAAAGGCCUUCUUGCGACUAGUGCGAAGGACCGACGGCACCGAAAUAGAAAGCCACGGCUAACUACGU